UCUGAGAGGAGUCAAGACACUUUUGUCAGGCUGCUAGAACCUCCGGGAAAGGGAGAAGGCAAAGAUGUGUGCUAUAUAAAACAGAAAGUGGAUCAUUAGUGUCCAUGGAUCUAGUAAUCACAGAUUUGAGUAUUUGAUAGUAACCUUUAGGGAUAGAGAUAGAGAAUAGCAAUAGAUUUAACUUUCCUGAACCAGAAAUACGAAUUGUUUGUUCUGCAAGAUAAAUCAGCACUUUCACUGGACUGAUUGGACUGAGAAGGCAAGGCUGAGUGAGCUGAAAGAAAUAGCAAGCCCAACUAAAACUGACUUGUACUAUAGGGAUUGUGAUCUCGUAUAUUCAGGAAGUCCAGAGGCAGAGGUCGUUUAUUUAAUGCCGGU
RNAcentral lists this long non-coding RNA (378 nucleotides) under Vulpes vulpes (red fox). RNAcentral describes it as "lncRNA (ENSVVUG00000016886.1)". The record is from RNAcentral. Lineage: Eukaryota; Metazoa; Chordata; Mammalia; Carnivora; Canidae.